GACGAACGCUGGCGGCAUGCCUAACACAUGCAAGUCGAGCGAGCAGAUCCCUUCGGGGUGAAGCUAGCGGCGGACGGGUGAGUAACACGUGGGCAACCUGCCUCAUAGAGGGGAAUAGCCUUCCGAAAGGAAGAUUAAUACCGCAUAAGAUUGUGGCUUCGCAUGAAGCAGCAAUUAAAGGAGCAAUCCGCUAUGAGAUGGGCCCGCGGCGCAUUAGCUAGUUGGUGAGGUAACGGCUCACCAAGGCGACGAUGCGUAGCCGACCUGAGAGGGUGAUCGGCCACAUUGGGACUGAGACACGGCCCAGACUCCUACGGGAGGCAGCAGUGGGGAAUAUUGCACAAUGGGGGGAACCCUGAUGCAGCAAUGCCGCGUGAGUGAUGACGGCCUUCGGGUUGUAAAGCUCUGUCUUCGGGGACGAUAAUGACGGUACCCGAGGAGGAAGCCACGGCUAACUACGUGCCAGCCGCCGCGGUAA
Molecule: ribosomal RNA, 478 nt
Filed under: uncultured bacterium
Lineage: Bacteria
Description: partial 16S ribosomal RNA
Rfam family: Bacterial small subunit ribosomal RNA
Source: RNAcentral